CUCCAGACUCCUACGGGAGGCAGCAGUGGGGAAUAUUGCACAAUGGGGGAAACCCUGAUGCAGCGACGCCGCGUGAGUGAAGAAGUAUUUCGGUAUGUAAAGCUCUAUCAGCAGGGAAGAAAAUGACGGUACCUGAUUAAGAAGCCCCGGCUAACUACGUGCCAGCAGCCGCGGUAAUACGUAGGGGGCAAGCGUUAUCCGGAUUUACUGGGUGUAAAGGGAGCGUAGACGGCAGCGCAAGUCUGAAGUGAAAGCCCGGGGCUCAACCGCGGGACUGCUUUGGAAACUGUUAAGCUGGAGUGCAGGAGAGGUAAGUGGAAUUCCUAGUGUAGCGGUGAAAUGCGUAGAUAUUAGGAGGAACACCAGUGGCGAAGGCGGCCUGCUGGACAGAAACUGACGUUGAGGCUCGAAAGCGUGGGGAGCAAACAGGAUUAGAUACCCGAGUA
Molecule: ribosomal RNA, 446 nt
Filed under: uncultured bacterium
Lineage: Bacteria
Description: bacterial SSU rRNA
Rfam family: Bacterial small subunit ribosomal RNA
Source: RNAcentral